CAGCCGCCGCGGUAAUACGUAGGGCGCAAGCGUUAUCCGGAAUUAUUGGGCGUAAAGAGCUCGUAGGCGGUUUGUCGCGUCUGCCGUGAAAGUCCGGGGCCCAACCCCGGAUCUGCGGUGGGUACGGGCAGACUAGAGUGAUGUAGGGGAGACUGGAAUUCCUGGUGUAGCGGUGAAAUGCGCAGAUAUCAGGAGGAACACCGAUGGCGAAGGCAGGUCUCUGGGCAUUAACUGACGCUGAGGAGCGAAAGCAUGGGGAGCGAACAGGAUUGGAUACCCCCGUAGUCCCUGUCUCUUAUAC
RNAcentral lists this ribosomal RNA (301 nucleotides) under uncultured bacterium. RNAcentral's name for it is "partial 16S ribosomal RNA". It matches the Rfam family "Bacterial small subunit ribosomal RNA", at positions 509 to 807 of the family's 1533-position model. The record is from RNAcentral.